GACGAACGCUGGCGGCGUGCUUAACACAUGCAAGUCGAACGGAAAGGCCCUGCUUGCAGGGUCCUCGAGUGGCGAACGGGUGAGUAACACGUGGGUGAUCUGCCCUGCACUUCGGGAUAAGCCUGGGAAACUGGGUCUAAUACCGGAUAGGAGCCAUUUUUAGUGUGAUGGUUGGAAAGUUUUUUCGGUGUAGGACGAGCUCGCGGCCUAUCAGCUUGUUGGUGGGGUAAUGGCCUACCAAGGCGGCGACGGGUAGCCGGCCUGUGAGGGUGGACGGCCACAUUGGGACUUAGAGACGGCCCAGACUCCGACGGGAGGCAGCAGUGGGGAAUAUUGCACAAUGGGCGCAAGCCGGAUGCAGCGACGCCGCGUGGGGGAUGACGGCCUUCGGGUUGGAAACUCCUUUCGCUAGGGACGAAGCUUUUUGUGACGGUACCUAGAGAAGAAGCACCGGCUAACUACGUG
Molecule: ribosomal RNA, 465 nt
Filed under: uncultured bacterium
Lineage: Bacteria
Description: partial 16S ribosomal RNA
Rfam family: Bacterial small subunit ribosomal RNA
Source: RNAcentral